GAUGAGCAUGCGUCCCAUUAGCUAGUUGGUAAGGUAACGGCUUACCAAGGCUACGAUGGGUAGGGGUCCUGAGAGGGAGAUCCCCCACACUGGUACUGAGACACGGACCAGACUCCUACGGGAGGCAGCAGUGAGGAAUAUUGGUCAAUGGGCGCAAGCCUGAACCAGCCAUGCCGCGUGCAGGAUGACGGUCCUAUGGAUUGUAAACUGCUUUUGUACAGGAAGAAACACUCCCUCGUGAGGGAGCUUGACGGUACUGUAAGAAUAAGGAUCGGCUAACUCCGUGCCAGCAGCCGCGGUAAUACGGAGGAUCCAAGCGUUAUCCGGAAUCAUUGGGUUUAAAGGGUCCGUAGGCGGGUUAAUAAGUCAGUGGUGAAAGCCCAUCGCUCAACGAUGGAACGGCCAUUGAUACUGUUAGUCUUGAAUUAUUAGGAAGUAACUAGAAUAUGUAGUGUAGCGGUGAAAUGCUUAGAGAUUACAUGGAAUACCAAUUGCGAAGGCAGGUUACUACUAAUGG
This 517-nucleotide ribosomal RNA is filed under the name uncultured Bacteroidota bacterium. RNAcentral's name for it is "bacterial SSU rRNA". It matches the Rfam family "Bacterial small subunit ribosomal RNA", at positions 224 to 738 of the family's 1533-position model. Lineage: Bacteria; Pseudomonadati; Bacteroidota. The record is from RNAcentral.